UACGAAGGGUGCAAGCGUUACUCGGAAUUACUGGGCGUAAAGCGUGCGUAGGUGGUUUGUUAAGUCUGCUGUGAAAGCCCCGGGCUCAACCUGGGAAUGGCAGUGGAUACUGGCAAGCUAGAGUGCGAUAGAGGGGUGUGGAAUUCCCGGUGUAGCGGUGAAAUGCGUAGAGAUCGGGAGGAACACCAGUGGCGAAGGCGGCACCCUGGAUCAGCACUGACACUGAGGCGCGAAAGCGUGGGGAGCAAACAGG
This 253-nucleotide ribosomal RNA is filed under the name uncultured bacterium. Its description in RNAcentral is "partial 16S ribosomal RNA". It matches the Rfam family "Bacterial small subunit ribosomal RNA", at positions 524 to 776 of the family's 1533-position model. The record is from RNAcentral.